CCCAAUUCAUCUUCAUCAUCUAGCCUGGUGGAACCACAUAUCAUGAAAUCUGAAGUGAAAUAGAAUGAAUGCAGCGAUCAGGAUGGUUCCAUAAUGCUAGUCCAUAACCACCAUUGAUAAUGAAAUCAGUGGUCUGUGUGUGUGUUUGACAGACCAGUAUCUUUGUGGGGCCGGGAGCAGAUCUAUGCUGCCAUGCCCAUCAAUGGGGCUCUGGCAAAGACCUUACCUCCAGCCUAGCCUCCUGUCUGCUCACCAAUGGUCGUCGAUUGGGAGACCAUAAUUGGAAACAUGUAUGGAGCCAGCACAUGGAGACUUGCAAGAUGAUGUGAUGAAGUCCAAACUGACAGACAGGCUUGGUAAUGAUUCCUCUAAAUGGAGAGAGACCUGUCACUCGGAAUUAAAAGUUUACUAGCUACAA
Long non-coding RNA from Oncorhynchus kisutch (coho salmon), 418 nucleotides. RefSeq lists it as uncharacterized. The record is from RefSeq and is a predicted model, not a curated record. The transcript is spliced from 2 exons. Lineage: Eukaryota; Metazoa; Chordata; Actinopteri; Salmoniformes; Salmonidae.